Molecule: small nuclear RNA, 117 nt
Organism: Microcebus murinus (gray mouse lemur)
Lineage: Eukaryota; Metazoa; Chordata; Mammalia; Primates; Cheirogaleidae
Gene: U5
Rfam family: U5 spliceosomal RNA
About the family: U5 RNA is a component of both types of known spliceosome. The precise function of this molecule is unknown, though it is known that the 5' loop is required for splice site selection and p220 binding, and that both the 3' stem-loop and the Sm site are important for Sm protein binding and cap methylation.
Source: Ensembl
AUGCUCUGGUUUUUCUUCAGAACAAAGAAAUCUUUCACCUUUUACUAAGGAUUUUUGUAGCGAAGAAAAGUUAUGAGUUAAUAACCAAACUUUUUGAGGCCUUGUUUAGGCAAGGCU